Long non-coding RNA from Corticium candelabrum, 220 nucleotides. RefSeq lists it as uncharacterized. NCBI's taxonomy places the organism in Eukaryota, Metazoa, Porifera, Homoscleromorpha, Homosclerophorida, Plakinidae. The transcript has 3 exons. The record is from RefSeq and is a predicted model, not a curated record.
AAAAAGCACUACGUCACUGUGAAAUGGAUGCUGAGGUGGCUGCUUUGCUGUUACUGGACAACAAUACCGAGGCACUCUUUGUCAGCAAUUGUAGUGAUAAUAAACAUAUGGUAUCAACAGAAAAUUCUAUUGUGUAGGUCCAGUCUUAGAAGAUUCAGAUGCCAUUGAUUUACCAAUGCCUGAACCCAGUGAUUUUGAUCAGGACACCACAAGAUCACAG